GAUGAAGAACGUAGCGAAAUGCGAUAAGUAGUGUGAAUUGCAGAAUUCAGUGCAUCAUCGAAUCUUUGAACGCACAUUGCGCCUUCUAGUAUUCUGGGAGGCAUGCCUGUUUGAGCGUCAUUAAACCUCUCUCAAGUAUGAUUACUUGGAUGUGAAGGAAGAGUACCUUAAACUUAAGGAGUGUUCUCCUUUGAAAUUGAUUAGCAGAUGGUAAUGUUAUUAAAUCCCUGAUGUUGUAAGAAAUAACAGUGGUUUUGUAGACUAUUAUCUAGCUUUAAAUUAUAAUUUUUAUUAUGGUUGACCUCAAAUCAGGUAAGGAUACCCGCUGAACUUAAGCAUAUCAAUAAGCGGAGGA
Molecule: unclassified non-coding RNA, 355 nt
Filed under: soil metagenome
Description: partial contains 5.8S ribosomal RNA, internal transcribed spacer 2, and large subunit ribosomal RNA
Rfam family: 5.8S ribosomal RNA (bases 1-120)
Source: RNAcentral